GUAUAAGGUUUAUAGGCACAAGGGCCCAAUGAUACAUUCUGUUACAUACAAUGGGGUAUAUGAAAAACGUAGGCCUGGAAAUGCAAGGAAAGCCAAUAAGCAGUCCUCCCGACCGAGUUGCCUCGGAAAGUCAAUCCAAGUCUACAAGAGGUGCACAGGUGGAGAGAUGAGGAUGGCGGGUGUGCACAUGCCCCCGAGAGGGCCAGCGACAACCACACCAAGUUCAUUCAAUAAUGAUCCUUCCGCAGGUUCACCUACGGAAA
Molecule: unclassified non-coding RNA, 263 nt
Filed under: uncultured fungus
Lineage: Eukaryota; Fungi
Description: sequence contains ITS1
Source: RNAcentral